Molecule: ribosomal RNA, 402 nt
Filed under: uncultured bacterium
Lineage: Bacteria
Description: bacterial SSU rRNA
Rfam family: Bacterial small subunit ribosomal RNA
Source: RNAcentral
GGGCCCGCACAAGCGGUGGAGCAUGUGGUUUAAUUCGAUGAUACGCGAGGAACCUUACCAGGGCUUAAAUGCAGAAUGACAGAUUGGGAAACCAGUCCUUCUUCGGACAUUUUGCAAGGUGCUGCAUGGUUGUCGUCAGCUCGUGCCGUGAGGUGUCAGGUUAAGUCCUAUAACGAGCGCAACCCCUAUCAUUAGUUGCCAGCGGGUAAUGCCGGGAACUCUAAUGAGACUGCCAGCGCAAGCUGCGAGGAAGGUGGGGAUGACGUCAAAUCAUCACGGCCCUUACGUCCUGGGCUACACACGUGCUACAAUGGUUGGGACAAUGGGCAGCCACUACGCGAGUAGGAGCUAAUCCUCAAACCCAAUCUCAGUUCGGAUCGGAGUCUGCAACUCGACUCCGUG